RNAcentral lists this ribosomal RNA (1683 nucleotides) under Citrobacter sp. wls830. Its description in RNAcentral is "partial 23S ribosomal RNA". It matches the Rfam family "Bacterial large subunit ribosomal RNA", at positions 593 to 2217 of the family's 2925-position model. The record is from RNAcentral. Lineage: Bacteria; Pseudomonadati; Pseudomonadota; Gammaproteobacteria; Enterobacterales; Enterobacteriaceae.
GUGACUGCGUACCUUUUGUAUAAUGGGUCAGCGACUUAUAUUCUGUAGCAAGGUUAACCGUAUAGGGGAGCCGAAGGGAAACCGAGUCUUAACUGGGCGUUAAGUUGCAGGGUAUAGACCCGAAACCCGGUGAUCUAGCCAUGGGCAGGUUGAAGGUUGGGUAACACUAACUGGAGGACCGAACCGACUAAUGUUGAAAAAUUAGCGGAUGACUUGUGGCUGGGGGUGAAAGGCCAAUCAAACCGGGAGAUAGCUGGUUCUCCCCGAAAGCUAUUUAGGUAGCGCCUCGUGAACUCAUCUUCGGGGGUAGAGCACUGUUUCGGCUAGGGGGUCAUCCCGACUUACCAACCCGAUGCAAACUGCGAAUACCGAAGAAUGUUAUCACGGGAGACACACGGCGGGUGCUAACGUCCGUCGUGAAGAGGGAAACAACCCAGACCGCCAGCUAAGGUCCCAAAGUCAUGGUUAAGUGGGAAACGAUGUGGGAAGGCACAGACAGCCAGGAUGUUGGCUUAGAAGCAGCCAUCAUUUAAAGAAAGCGUAAUAGCUCACUGGUCGAGUCGGCCUGCGCGGAAGAUGUAACGGGGCUAAACCAUGCACCGAAGCUGCGGCAGCGACACUAUGUGUUGUUGGGUAGGGGAGCGUUCUGUAAGCCGUUGAAGGUGUCCUGUGAGGGAUGCUGGAGGUAUCAGAAGUGCGAAUGCUGACAUAAGUAACGAUAAUGCGGGUGAAAAACCCGCACGCCGGAAGACCAAGGGUUCCUGUCCAACGUUAAUCGGGGCAGGGUGAGUCGACCCCUAAGGCGAGGCCGAAAGGCGUAGUCGAUGGGAAACAGGUUAAUAUUCCUGUACUUGGUGUUACUGCGAAGGGGGGACGGAGAAGGCUAUGUUGGCCGGGCGACGGUUGUCCCGGUUUAAGCGUGUAGGUGUGUGUUCCAGGUAAAUCCGGUUCACUUUAACACUGAGGCGUGAUGACGAGGUACUACGGUGCUGAAGUGACAAAUGCCCUGCUUCCAGGAAAAGCCUCUAAGCAUCAGGUAACACGAAAUCGUACCCCAAACCGACACAGGUGGUCAGGUAGAGAAUACCAAGGCGCUUGAGAGAACUCGGGUGAAGGAACUAGGCAAAAUGGUGCCGUAACUUCGGGAGAAGGCACGCUGAUAUGUAGGUGAAGUGAUUUACUCAGGGAGAAGGCACGCUGAUAUGUAGGUGAAGCGGUUUACCCGUGGAGCUGAAAUCAGUCGAAGAUACCAGCUGGCUGCAACUGUUUAUUAAAAACACAGCACUGUGCAAACACGAAAGUGGACGUAUACGGUGUGACGCCUGCCCGGUGCCGGAAGGUUAAUUGAUGGGGUUAUCCGUAAGGAGAAGCUCUUGAUCGAAGCCCCGGUAAACGGCGGCCGUAACUAUAACGGUCCUAAGGUAGCGAAAUUCCUUGUCGGGUAAGUUCCGACCUGCACGAAUGGCGUAAUGAUGGCCAGGCUGUCUCCACCCGAGACUCAGUGAAAUUGAACUCGCUGUGAAGAUGCAGUGUACCCGCGGCAAGACGGAAAGACCCCGUGAACCUUUACUAUAGCUUGACACUGAACACUGGUCCUUGAUGUGUAGGAUAGGUGGGAGGCUUUGAAGUGUGGACGCCAGUCUGCAUGGAGCCAUCCUUGAAAUACCACCCUUUAAUGGCUGG